AGCCCAAGCGCACCAGCGACAGCCCGCGCGUCGCCUCUUGUACCACGCACGCCACCAUUCUUCUGUGUACAUCGCGCUUUUUUCUCCCACCUUCUGCGCCGCCUUUGAUGAUGAGGGACGCCCCAGUGCGUGGUGUUACGUCCCGGUAGCCCACUCUGUAUGGGAAAGCCAUACAGCCCCCUACUUGCUGACAAAUGCGGAACCACUUCUGGUGGUGGCAGGGUGGAGCGCCUACGACGGAGGGGGGGGGUCAGCGCGAUGCAUUGCCACAGAUGUCGGCGGCCAGGCCCUGGACGGCGUUGCGCCGCAGCGACCUGCAAUCGUGCACACGUUAGUGUCACCCGUAUGAUUAGGCAGAAUGCCAAGGUGACUGGAACCUGCACUACCCGGCCCCCCACGCUGCCCACUGGAGUGGGGAGCCUGAGCCGCCCCGAGGGACGCACCAGGUGGGCGACUGGCAUAGUGGGGGAGCGGCUGUGAGGCGACCUGCGAAGCUGGUGUGGGCAGGGCUUAAGGCGGGGAGGCCGUGCUCUUCGACGACUGAGUCGGCGCGUUGCUGAAACGUUGGUGUCUGGCACUGCUUCGCACGACUGGAUGGGACCGUGAGAGGCCGGGGAGGGGUCGAGCCCGACUCAUGCGCUAUAGCAGUGUAGUCAUGCUCAAGUAAUUGGCGAGUGCACACAGAAAGUUACUGUCAGAGUCAAUGCUUCGCGUGCGUAGCCUUUCCUGUUCGCAGUUGGCUCACAACCUGACGCUCUCGAUCUUCGAGCCGGUUGCGAACCACCGGGCGACCCGGAUCGUGUGCACUAUCGGCCCUAGCACGCAGAGCGUGGAGGCGCUGAAGGGACUGAUUCAGAGCGGCAUGUCUGUUGCGCGCAUGAACUUCUCGCAUGGGUCACACGAGUACCACCGGACGACAAUCAACAAUGUGCGCCAGGCCGCCGCGGAGCUCGGUGUGAAUAUCGCGAUCGCGCUGGACACAAAGGGGCCCGAGAUUCGGACGGGACAGUUCGUUGGUGGCGAGGCCGUGAUGGAGCGAGGCGCGACAUGCUACGUGACGACAGACCCUGCGUUUGCUGACAAGGGCACCAAGGACAAGUUCUACAUCGACUACCAGAACCUGUCGAAGGUGGUGCGCCCUGGCAGCUACAUCUACAUCGACGACGGCAUCCUGAUCCUGCACGUGCAGAGCCACGAGGACGAGCAGACGCUGAAGUGCACGGUGACUAACGCGCACACGAUCUCUGACCGACGCGGUGUGAACCUGCCGGGGUGCGACGUGGACCUGCCGGCUGUGUCGGCGAAGGACUGCGCGGACCUGCAGUUUGGCGUGGAGCAGGGCGUGGACAUGAUCUUCGCGUCGUUCAUCCGGAGCGCGGAGCAGGUGGGCGAGGUGCGGGAGGCGCUUGGCGCGAAGGGACGUGACAUCAUGAUCAUCUGCAAGAUCGAGAACCACCAGGGCGUGCAGAACAUCGACUCUAUCAUUGAGGAGAGCGACGGCAUCAUGGUUGCGCGCGGCGACCUCGGUGUUGAGAUCCCAGCGGAGAAGGUGGUGGUUGCGCAGAAGAUCCUGAUCAGCAAGUGCAACGUUGCCGGCAAGCCGGUCAUCUGCGCGACGCAGAUGCUGGAGAGCAUGACGUACAACCCCCGCCCGACGCGCGCUGAGGUAUCGGAUGUCGCUAACGCUGUCUUCAACGGUGCGGAUUGCGUGAUGCUGUCUGGUGAGACGGCGAAGGGCAAGUAUCCGAAUGAGGUGGUUCAGUACAUGGCGCGCAUCUGCCUAGAGGCGCAGAGCGCCGUUAACGAAUACGUCUUCUUCAACAGCAUCAAAAAACUGCAGCCCAUCCCGAUGAGUGCUGAGGAGGCUGUUUGCAGCAGUGCCGUGAACUCUGUGUAUGAGACCAAGGCCAAGGUAAUGGUGGUGCUGAGCAACACCGGCCGCAGCGCUCGACUGGUGGCGAAGUACCGUCCGAACUGCCCGAUUGUGUGUGUGACGACGCGUCUGCAGACGUGCCGCCAGCUGAACAUCACACAAGGCGUGGAGAGUGUUUUCUUUGAUGCAGAAAAGCUCGGCCACGAUGAGGGCAAGGAGCAGCGCGUGGCCAUGGGUGUUGGAUUCGCCACGUCGAAGGGCUAUAAACUGUCCGGAGCCCUGGUGGCCAUUGUCGAUAUUCUACGUUGGUGGGGCUGCCGCGUAGGUCAGUCCACCAUCAUCGAGCUGAAGUGACGUUUUGGCGAACUCAUUUUCUCCCUAUCUCUCCGAAUCUUUGUGAGGACGGGAUACUACAUAGGUCUUCUUAUUUUCAUUCCUGGCUACCGCGAUGAGAUCUGCGGGGCUUACAG
This 2343-nucleotide unclassified non-coding RNA is filed under the name Leishmania donovani. RNAcentral describes it as "gene:LdHU3.35.0050(CDS-product:pyruvate_kinase)". The record is from RNAcentral. Lineage: Eukaryota; Euglenozoa; Kinetoplastea; Trypanosomatida; Trypanosomatidae.